UGAGUAAGUCAGAUGGUCGCGGACAUUUUGUCCGAGGAAAGUCCGAGCUCCAUAGGGCAAGAUGCUGGGCAACUCCCAGUGAGGGUGACCUCAAGGAUAGUGCAACAGAGAGAUACCGCCCCAACUCGGGGUAAGGGUGGAAAGGUGAGGUAAGAGCUCACCAGCGGAAUGGCGACUUUCCGGCUAUGUAAACCCCAUCUGGAGCAAGACCAAAUAGGGAAACUUAUAUGGCGGCCCGUCAUGGUUUCCGGGUAAGGUCGCUAGAUAUGUCAGGCAACUGCCAUACAAGAUAGAUGACCAUCCAAUGACAGAACUCGGCUUAUAGACUUACUCAUUUA
RNAcentral lists this RNase P RNA (338 nucleotides) under Thermoanaerobacterales bacterium. Its description in RNAcentral is "RNase P RNA component class A". It matches the Rfam family "Bacterial RNase P class A". From Rfam's summary of the family: Ribonuclease P (RNase P) is a ubiquitous endoribonuclease, found in archaea, bacteria and eukarya as well as chloroplasts and mitochondria. Its best characterised activity is the generation of mature 5'-ends of tRNAs by cleaving the 5'-leader elements of precursor-tRNAs. Lineage: Bacteria; Bacillati; Bacillota; Clostridia; Thermoanaerobacterales. The record is from RNAcentral.